RNAcentral lists this ribosomal RNA (254 nucleotides) under uncultured bacterium. RNAcentral's name for it is "partial 16S ribosomal RNA". It matches the Rfam family "Bacterial small subunit ribosomal RNA", at positions 99 to 354 of the family's 1533-position model. The record is from RNAcentral.
CGGACGGUGAGUAACGCGUGGGUAACCUGCCUUGCACUGGGGGAUAACACUUAGAAAUAGGUGCUAAUACCGCAUAAGCGCACGGUCCUGCAUGGGACAGUGUGAAAAACUCCGGUGGUGCAAGAUGGACCCGCGUCUGAUUAGCUGGUUGGCGGGGUAAAGGCCCACCAAGGCGACGAUCAGUAGCCGGCCUGAGAGGGUGGACGGCCACAUUGGGACUGAGACACGGCCCAAACUCCUACGGGAGGCAGCAG